Molecule: long non-coding RNA, 1457 nt
Organism: Dermacentor albipictus
Lineage: Eukaryota; Metazoa; Arthropoda; Arachnida; Ixodida; Ixodidae
Source: RefSeq, a predicted model, not a curated record
CUGAUAGACGGUGUCCAUGGAAUCACUCCGAUACUGAGUUUGCUACUUCGAAUGUUCGAAAGUCACUCCAAACCUCAGUUUUUAAGGAAUUCAAGGAGAAAACUUAUUUUUAAGGAGUUUUAAGGGCCCUUCGAUCUCGUUUUCUAAAUUAAAGUGUUAUUAAGGGUUCCAAAGAGAUUCACGAACCCUGCGAUCGAGUGUAGGUUCGCAUGUUCAUGGAAGCACCGUCUACACAUGUGUUGAGAAUGUAUUGUGGUCUCGCGUUUUUUCACGGAAACCACCGUGCAUUAUCGAGCUCACACGAAGCGAUAUUACUCUUCACAUGCCAUGGGCACAGUGAGCUGCAAUCUGACAUCUGCAGGCGCUACAGUGAUGGAUGGUACUGCCUGCUCACCUCGCAGACGAAGGAAUGACAAGCAAUCUCACAUUACCCAGCAAGUUGCCGUUGAUCAUGAAUGCAAGACAAGUGGGGACUGAUGACAUAGCUUGUUUAGACUGUUGCCAGCAGUGACUGGAAUCGCCCCACUAAAAUAUCAAAGUGUAAUAUCAAACUUCACGGCAGCUAUAUUGCUAUGCGUCGUUUUAUUUUUGCUGGUGUCUCUAUUUGUACUGGAUUAUCAUUGUUAUCGAGUUGCUCAAUGCAAAAUGCACUUACUGUAUUGAAAUUGUACAAACAUUGCCACGACAGAAGACCUGUUCAUUCAAAUUAAGCAUGCUUUGCAAACAGCAUUCUAGAUUCUCAGUUGUACACAAGCAUCAGGGAUUGCUUAGGAAUGUGUGAUGACUUAGGGGUGCAUGAAAAGUAACUUUUAGACCUACUAAUCGAAUGAAAAUCAAAUGGUAUCCGAAGUAAAUCAAGGUGAAUUGAAUACCAAAUACUUGUCAAAUAGUUUUCUUUUUUUCAUAAUGGUCAGCUGUUUUCGCAUUUAAUAGAAACUAAUGUUCACAUCUUAAUUCAUAUUCAUAACGCUGGCAAGUUUCUGUUUUACGUUAUGAAGCAUUGUUCAUCAAAAAUGCAAAUUAAGCAUUACGAACAAAUAAAUAGUUUGCAUACACAGAAUUCUUUGGAGAUAGCAAAUUAUCACUGAAUACUCUGUAAAGUCUGCCUCCUUGAGCAAUGUAGCCUUCUCCACUAUAGUACUUUCGCUACAAUUUUAUGUUUAAUUGCACAUAGUUGACAUUUUAAAAUAUUAGAAAGCUAUUUGAAAGAUAAGUUUUUUUUUUUUUUACGAAUAGUGACCAUUUGAUUUGAAGACUAAAUUAAAUAGGGCACUAUUUGAUUUGUUAUUUGAAACUUUCAAAUAUUUACACAGCCCUUACGAUAAGUGAUGUAUAAAUAGCAGAUCAACUUCACCCGUUAGAUCAGAUUCGACAACCAUGCUUGCUGCUGCUGUUGCAUUUCGAGUGUUGCUUGCUUUUCUAGGCACAAGCUUGUUCUAUGAAGAGUGAGAUUCAUA